This 867-nucleotide ribosomal RNA is filed under the name uncultured prokaryote. RNAcentral describes it as "bacterial SSU rRNA". It matches the Rfam family "Bacterial small subunit ribosomal RNA", at positions 44 to 893 of the family's 1533-position model. The record is from RNAcentral.
GUGCGGUCUAUAAUGCAGUCGAGCGGACAGAAGGGAGCUUGCUCCCGGAUGUUAGCGGCGGACGGGUGAGUAACACGUGGGUAACCUGCCUGUAAGACUGGGAUAACUCCGGGAAACCGGAGCUAAUACCGGAUAGUUCCUUGAACCGCAUGGUUCAAGGAUGAAAGACGGUUUCGGCUGUCACUUACAGAUGGACCCGCGGCGCAUUAGCUAGUUGGUGAGGUAACGGCUCACCAAGGCGACGAUGCGUAGCCGACCUGAGAGGGUGAUCGGCCACACUGGGACUGAGACACGGCCCAGACUCCUACGGGAGGCAGCAGUAGGGAAUCUUCCGCAAUGGACGAAAGUCUGACGGAGCAACGCCGCGUGAGUGAUGAAGGUUUUCGGAUCGUAAAGCUCUGUUGUUAGGGAAGAACAAGUGCAAGAGUAACUGCUUGCACCUUGACGGUACCUAACCAGAAAGCCACGGCUAACUACGUGCCAGCAGCCGCGGUAAUACGUAGGUGGCAAGCGUUGUCCGGAAUUAUUGGGCGUAAAGGGCUCGCAGGCGGUUUCUUAAGUCUGAUGUGAAAGCCCCCGGCUCAACCGGGGAGGGUCAUUGGAAACUGGGAAACUUGAGUGCAGAAGAGGAGAGUGGAAUUCCACGUGUAGCGGUGAAAUGCGUAGAGAUGUGGAGGAACACCAGUGGCGAAGGCGACUCUCUGGUCUGUAACUGACGCUGAGGAGCGAAAGCGUGGGGAGCGAACAGGAUUAGAUACCCUGGUAGUCCACGCCGUAAACGAUGAGUGCUAAGUGUUAGGGGGUUUCCGCCCCUUAGUGCUGCAGCUAACGCAUUAAGCACUCCGCCUGGGGAGUACGGUCGCAAGA